UUGGAAGUAAAAGUCGUAACAAGGUUUCCGUACGUGAACCUACGGAAGGGUCAUUG
Molecule: ribosomal RNA, 56 nt
Filed under: Mammillaria plumosa
Lineage: Eukaryota; Viridiplantae; Streptophyta; Magnoliopsida; Caryophyllales; Cactaceae
Description: partial 18S ribosomal RNA
Rfam family: Eukaryotic small subunit ribosomal RNA
Source: RNAcentral